RNAcentral lists this non-coding RNA (959 nucleotides) under Trichomonas vaginalis G3. RNAcentral's name for it is "Eukaryotic large subunit ribosomal RNA". It matches the Rfam family "Eukaryotic large subunit ribosomal RNA", at positions 346 to 1616 of the family's 3401-position model. The record is from Rfam by way of RNAcentral. Lineage: Eukaryota; Parabasalia; Trichomonadida; Trichomonadidae.
AAGUAGUGUGAACGAAAGAUGAAAAGAACUCUAAAACAGAGGGUGAAAAGUUCCUGAACUUGCUUAGGGUUAAGGCUAUUUAUAGUACCCGUCUUGAAACACGGAUUAGGGAGUUUAUCUGUAGUGCGAGUCUUUGCACGUUAACUGUAAAGGCGUAGAGAAAGCAACUGGCGUUUGCAUGGCUACUGAGCAUUACUGAUAGGACCCGAAAGGUGGUGAACUUUGCCUGCACAGGUUGAAGUCAGGGGAAACUCUGAUGGAGGACCGUACGGGUUAUUGAUGUGCAAAUCAUUUUUCUGAUGUAGGUAAAGGUGCGAAAGACUCAUCGAACCACCUAAUAGCUGGUUUCCUCCGAAGUUUCCCUCAGGAUAGCUGUAAUGCAUUUAGUUAAGGGGAGUAGAGAUAUGGGUAGAGGUGCAGGGAGCCUUCGGGUUCUCAACUUAUUUCCAAACUUCGAACCUCCUUGUUAGGCAUUUACCUAACUGGAAAUGCUUAAAUGAAUUAGCGUUACAAGUGGGCUCUGACCGGUAAGCGGUCAUGGCGAAAUGGGAUGAACCAUACGUCUGAAUAAGGUGCCGAAAUGUACUAUCACUGAUACCAUAAAGGGAGUCCAUGUAUUUAGACAGCAGGUCGGUGCCCCUAAAAGCAGGUAUCCGCUAAAGAGUGUGUUAAAACUCACCUGCCGAAUACUAGGGCCCCGAAAAUGAAUGGCGCAUAUAGUACUACCGAUCUCAGACAUCAGUUCUAUUGAACUGAGAGUAGGGGGAUGUGGACAUUUUUGUGAAGGUGCAAUGUGAGUUGGACUGGAAGAAUGUCUAUUACAGAUCCUAAUUGAAGUAGCGAUUAUCCAGGCUUGUAUCCUGGGGGCUGAUGAGGAGUAGGGUUUCUGGACAACUUAAACAGAUCCAGAGUUAGUCGAUCCUAAUCUCAAUAAUGGAGAAAGGGAGUACAGUUGAUAU